AGUGAACGCUGGCGGUAGGCCUAACACAUGCAAGUCGAACGGCAGCACAGUAAGAGCUUGCUCUUACGGGUGUCGAGUGGCGGACGGGUGAGGAAUACAUCGGAAUCUACUUUUUCGUGGGUGAUAACGUAGGGAAACUUACGCUAAUACCGCAUACGACCUACGGGUGAAAGCAGGGGAUCUUCGGACCUUGCGCGAUUGAAUGAGCCGAUGUCGGCUUAGCUAGUUGGCGGGGUAAAGGCCCACCAAGGCGACGAUCCGUAGCUGGUCUGAGAGGAUGAUCAGACACACUGGAACUGAGACACGGUACAGACUCCUACGGGAGGCAGCAGUGGGGAAUAUUGGACAAUGGGCGAAAGCCUGAUCCAGCCAUACCGCGUGGGUGAAGAAGGACUUCGGGUUGUAAAGCCCUUUUGUUGGGAAAGAAAAGCAGCAGGUUAAUACCCCGCUGUUCUGACGGUACCCAAAGAAUAAGCACCGGCUAACUUCGUG
Molecule: ribosomal RNA, 492 nt
Filed under: uncultured bacterium
Lineage: Bacteria
Description: partial 16S ribosomal RNA
Rfam family: Bacterial small subunit ribosomal RNA
Source: RNAcentral